RNAcentral lists this ribosomal RNA (484 nucleotides) under uncultured bacterium. Its description in RNAcentral is "partial 16S ribosomal RNA". It matches the Rfam family "Bacterial small subunit ribosomal RNA", at positions 30 to 507 of the family's 1533-position model. The record is from RNAcentral.
AUUGAACGCUGGCGGCAGGCCUAACACAUGCAAGUCGAGCGGAUGAAGGGAGCUUGCUCCUGGAUUCAGCGGCGGACGGGCGAGUAAUGCCUAGGAAUCUGCCUGGUAGUGGGGGAUAACGUCCGGACACGGGGGCUAAUACCGCAAACGUCCAGAGGGCGAACGGGGGGGAUCUUGGGACCUCAGGCUAUCAGACGAGCCUAGGUCGGAUUAGCUAGUUGGUGGGGUAAAGGCCUACCAAGGCGACGAUCCGUAACUGGUCUGAGAGGAUGAUCAGGCACACUGGAACUGAGACACGGUCCAGACUCCUACGGGAGGCAGCAGUGGGGAAUAUUGGACAAUGGGCGAAAGCCUGAUCCAGCCAUGCCGCGUGUGUGAAGAAGGUCUUCGGAUUGUAAAGCCCUUUUAUUUGGGAGGAAGGGCAGUAAGUUAAUACCUUGCUGUUUUGACGGUACCAACAGAAUAAGCACCGGCUAACUUCGUG